AUGGGGGAAGGGGAGAGCUGUAGAGACAGGGUAGUCGGCAAAAUGCAGCUCAAGUCAGGAUGCCUCCAGAGGGUGCAUGCAGCUGGGGAAGGGGACAUGGGACAUGGCUAUGGAGGAUCCUCUUGUAUCCCUCCUGGGAAACCUGCAUGCUUGAUCUCCUUUCCAAAAUGCCUGUACACCAAUGCACACAGCAUGGGGAACAAACAGGAAGAACUAGAGAUGUGUGUGCGGUCGCAGGGCCAUGAUCUCAUUGCCAUUACAGAGACAUGGUGGGAUAGCUCGCAUGACUGGAGUGCUGUCAUGGAUGGCUACAUGCUUUUUAGGAAAGACAGGCCAGGAAGGCGAGGUGGUGGAGUUGCUCUUUAUGUGAGAGAGCAACUGGAAUGCAUUGAGCUGUGCCUAGGGGUGGAGGAAGAGCGAGUCGAGAGCUUAUGGGUAAGGMUUAAAGGGCAGGCUAGCAUGGGUGACACUGUUGUGGGUGUUUACUACAGGCCACCUGAUCAGGAAGAGGAAGUCGAUGAGGCCUUCUACAGACAGCUGGAAGUAGCCUCCCGAUCCCAGGCCCUGGUUCUCAUGGGGGACUUCAACCAGCCUGAUAUCUGCUGGAAAGACAACACAGCUAGGCACAAACAGUCCUGGAGGUUCCCGCAGAGCAUUGGUGACAACUCUUUGACACAGGUGGUGGAGGAGCCAGCAAGGAGAGGUGCGCUGCUGGACCUCGUACUAACAAACAAAGAAGGACUGGUGGAAGAUGUGAGGGUUGGGGGCAGCCUGGGCUGCAGUGACCAUGAGAUGGUGGAGUUCAGGAUCCUGCAAGGAGGAGGCAGGGCACUAAGGAGGAUCACAACCCUGGACUUGAGGAGAGCAAACUUUGGCCUCUUCGGGGACCUGCUUGGAGGAAUCCCAUGGGUUAGGGCCCUAGAAGGAAGGGGCGUUCAAGAGAGCUGGUUAAUGUUCAAAGAUCACUUCCUCCAGGCUCAAGAUCGGUGCAUCCCUAUGAGUAGGAAGUCAAGCAAAGGAGGCAGGAGACCUGCAUGGAUGAGCAAGGAGCUCCUGGCAAAACUCAACCAGAAGAAGGAAGUAUACAGAAAGUGGAAAGGGGGACAGGCCACUUGGGAGGAAUAUAGGAACAUUGUCAGAGUAUGCAGAGAGGCGACGAGGAAGGCUAAGGCCCAUUUGGAAUUAAAUCUGGCAAGAGAUGUCAAGGACAGCAAGAAGGGCUUCUUCAAAUGCAUCAGCAGCAAGAGGAAGACUAGGGAAAAUGUGGGCCGUUUGCUGAAUGGGGUGGGUGCCCUGGUGACGAAGGAUGCAGAGAAGGCAGAGUUACUGUACUGA
This is a long non-coding RNA of Apteryx haastii (Great spotted kiwi), 1335 nucleotides long. The record is from Ensembl. Lineage: Eukaryota; Metazoa; Chordata; Aves; Apterygiformes; Apterygidae.